GGCUUUGCUUUUUUUUUUUUUUUUUUUUUUUUAAGAAAAAGGUUUUCUAGUUUCUUCUACAUUAAAAAUAAUCCCUCCUUCUCAUAAAGCACAAUUUUACAGAGGAAAAGGGAGAUGUGAAACUAUACACAAUUCAAAUCUAAUUAAUAUAUAAUUUUUUUGUGGAAUACAGAUGGAGGGAAUACAUCACAAUACUAAAGGUGAUUAUCUUUGGAUGGUGGGAUUACAGGUGAUUAUAUAUUUUUUAUAUUUCUAUAGUUUAAAAAUAUUCCAUGAUGACCUAUAAUUACUUUUACUUAUUUUUUGAGACAAAAUCUCACCCUGUUGACCAAGGCUGGAGCGCAGUGGUGCAAUCUCGGCUUAGUGCAAUCUCGGUGUAGUCUCGACCUCACAGGCUCAAGUGAUCCUCCCACCUCAGCCUCCGGAGAAGCUGGGACUACAGCUCUUUGCCCAGCUUCCAGUGACUCCUCUGUGCCUGGAGAGAAGGGCAAGCGCCUUACUCAUGCCUUGAGGUUGCUGACCACUUCCGUCACCAGCCUCGCUCCUUCCAGACCUGCCCUGGGAGUCCCUGCCUCCUGGCCUUCACCUGCAUCACGGUCUGCACUUCUCAGAGCCCUGCCCUUCCUUGAAGAACAAAGCCUGGCCAAAUUGUGUCAGCCUUCUGGCCUGCAGUGACCCCUGCUUACAUCGUACAUAACAAUAGCUAUAACUUAUUGACAUUAACUUCAGGUCACAUAGCAAAAGUGCUCUCAUUUAAAUCUUAGGCCACCAGAGGAUCCAUAGACUAAAAUGUUAACAGCAUCUCCUGGAGUUGUGGAGUGUGGUGACCCUAUGUGAUCCUCCUGUGCCACUGAGAGAUAUAUUAUUAACCCAGUUUCACUGAUAAGAUAACUGAGGCUCAGAGAGGUCAAGUAACUUGCCCAUGGUCACACAGUGGGUCCAUGGCAGAGCUGGGAGGUGAUCCCUAGUCAGUUCCCUCCAAGUCCAGGAUUUUCUCACUCCCACAAUGGUGUCUCCCUUAAUGACUCUCACAUUCCAGCCUCUGAGGGCAGGAAGGGUAUGUUCUGAGUUGAACACACAGAGAGCACUCAAUGAUGUCUGGUGGUGAAGAUGUUAAUCAUGAGCUCAAUCAAGGUUUAUCAUUAAAUCAACAAGUCUUCCUAGUGUGUCUGGGAGCUCUGGGGCCCAGGGACAGGCCUACUGUAGUUCAGUGUUGUAUUCUGGCACCUGGUGGUUUCUGGCACAUAGCCCAUGUUCAUUAAAUGACAUGAAUUGAUUGUCCAUUCAAAUAAUAAAACAAUAAAUAAAUAAUACUAGCUAACAGGUAUGGAGUGCCUACAAGCCAGCCACCUCAGGGAGUUUCCAGGACAGUUGAGGAGAAACAUAACACUGUUGACAAGAGCUACAACGUAGGGUUUUACACCAAAACAGUGUCUACGUAAACAGUGUCUAUCAAAGAGAGAAAAAUGAUGGGCAGACACCCUGAUCCUUCCCACAGUGCUAAAGGCCAUGCCAGCCACUGUCCCCAUUACGACUUGCAUAUACUGACUGCCGAAGCACACAAACCUGAAUUUUCCGUCUGCAUCCAUCGUUCUGUCUGUUCGGAUCACAUCUGGAUACUACUGUUGCCUCUCCAGACUGGAUAACCAGUCUGCUGAGGGCCAGAAGAUGGUGAGAUGGAAACUAGUCAUGUUUACUUGGAGAAGAGAAAUGAAGACCGUCUUUAACACCUGACAGGUUGCUCUUCCCAAGAGGGGCCAGAGGGCAACAGCCAUGGUCAACAGCUCCAGGCACCCCUGAGGAAGCCUGCUCCAGCUGGCAGGGCUGUCUGGCAAGGGACCAGUCCCUCCUCUGGAGAAGUGGUGAGCCCAGUGGGCUGCCUCUCCAGCAGGAUCCUGUAGAGACCUUACUCUCUACAAUGCACACUCCACACACUUGCUCACUUGACAAACACUUAUUAUAACUGUCACCCUGGGCCCAUUCCAGGUUAGGGACAUAAGGAUGAAUAAAACAAGGUCUGUACCAGUAGAGAACAUCAGUCCUCUAGGGGAGAAAGUCAGGAAAGCCUCAUCCUGAGCCUUCGACUCCUUACUGUCCAUCCUCUAGGCUCCUGUCUCAGCUUCUGCUGAAGGCUAUUUUCUUCCUUGUAUUCUGCAGUGACCAGGCAUAUGGCAGAUAAUCAACAAAUACAGGCAUCCCUGAAGAGGGUAUCCUGGGAUAAAAGCCCCAGCUGGAUCAGUGCUAUACAGGGGCCAACUGGGGGUGGGUUCCAGGCAGGGUCAUUUGCAAGGGUCCCUCUGCCCCUUCAAGUCCUGCCAGACAGGCCUUGGCCAUGGUUUCUUCCUGCCCCUGUCCCCUGACCACAGUUGAUCUCCCCUGGCUGUUAUGAAAUGUCAAAGAAUGUCCUGCAAUCCUAAAUUCCAUAAUGAUCUUUAUCUUCUGUUCCCUCUGAGGCUCCUCAAUCUGCAGUAACAGCUGUGGUUCAGCAAGCAGUGCGGCACUCUGGAGUGCUGUUCUGAAACAGGGCCGGCGUGGGGCAGAGCUCAUCUGCUGCCCUAUCCAUUCACUGUGCUGUUCGGGGCUAGAGAAGAUUCAUGUGUGUAUAUGCUUUUUAAAAAUUGUGAAACAAUAAUUAUGCAGAAAAAUACAUAGAAUAUAUGUUCAGUUUAACAAAUAAUCAUAAAGCAAAUCUCUAUAAAACCACUGCUGCUCUGCAGUGACCCCUGCUUCCCCCUAAGUCGUGCAUAACAAUAGCUACAAUUUACUGACCAUGAACUUCAGGUCACACAGCAAAGGUGUUCUCAUUUAAUCUUUGGCCACCAGAGGCUGCAUAGACUAAAAUGUGAACAGUGUCCCCUGCAGUUGUGGAGUGUGGUGACCCUAUUGGAUCUUCUCAUGCCACUGAGGGAUAUACUGUUUUCUGUAGAGAAGUCCAGCAGAGUCACUGUCCUGGGGGGCAUCCUUCUUGAUCGCCCCCAUGCCAUGAAGGCCCAUUCCUUGCCCAGGGCUCUAGAGUCUGAGCUUCUCCAAGAGGGAAUGGAGUCUUUCGCAGAGGGGCUGUGGAGCCUCGUAAGGCUGAAUCUAACCACGAGCAGGGAUUUUGGGCAGCUGCAUAUCCCAGAUGGUUUCCCAGUGGAUCAGCUUCCUGUUGCUGCUCUAAUAAACUAACAUAAACUUAGGGGCUUAAAACAACACAAAUUUCUUUUCUUAUAGUUCCGUAGGUCAGAAGUCCAAAACAGGUCUCACUGGGCUAAACUGAAGGUGUCAGCAGGGCUGCAUUCCUUCCUGGGGGCUCUAGUAGAGAAUCUCUUUCCUUUCUUCCCCUUUCCAGCUUUUAGAGGCUGCCUGCAUUCCUUGGCCUGCGGCCCCUUCCUCCACCUUCAAAGCCAGCACUGGCUGGCCAGGUCUUUCAUAUAUUGCAAUCUCUCUGCUUCUGCUUCUGCUUCUGACCCUUCUGCCUCUCUCUUCUCCAUUUAAGAAUGCUUGUGAUUACAUUGGGCUCACCCACCCCAGUUUCUACCCAAUAAUCCAGGGUAAUCUCCCAAACUUAAAGAGAGAAAACAAUACUAGCACCCCCAAAGCACCUACGUGUUCCCCUACUAAUCACAACCCCAACCCUCCCUUCUGCAUAAGUAGACAUUUGUAAUAAUUCUGUGCUUUUUGUAGUUUGACCUCCUCUGCAUGUAUCCUUAACAAUACAGUUUUGCCAGCUGUUAAAUUUUUGCUAAAAGGA
RNAcentral lists this long non-coding RNA (3733 nucleotides) under Homo sapiens (human). RNAcentral describes it as "HSALNT0094440". The record is from RNAcentral. Lineage: Eukaryota; Metazoa; Chordata; Mammalia; Primates; Hominidae.